This 594-nucleotide ribosomal RNA is filed under the name Saccharomyces cerevisiae (brewer's yeast). Its description in RNAcentral is "partial large subunit ribosomal RNA". It matches the Rfam family "Eukaryotic large subunit ribosomal RNA", at positions 48 to 656 of the family's 3401-position model. The record is from RNAcentral. Lineage: Eukaryota; Fungi; Ascomycota; Saccharomycetes; Saccharomycetales; Saccharomycetaceae.
UAGCGGAGGAAAAGAAACCAACCGGGAUUGCCUUAGUAACGGCGAGUGAAGCGGCAAAAGCUCAAAUUUGAAAUCUGGUACCUUCGGUGCCCGAGUUGUAAUUUGGAGAGGGCAACUUUGGGGCCGUUCCUUGUCUAUGUUCCUUGGAACAGGACGUCAUAGAGGGUGAGAAUCCCGUGUGGCGAGGAGUGCGGUUCUUUGUAAAGUGCCUUCGAAGAGUCGAGUUGUUUGGGAAUGCAGCUCUAAGUGGGUGGUAAAUUCCAUCUAAAGCUAAAUAUUGGCGAGAGACCGAUAGCGAACAAGUACAGUGAUGGAAAGAUGAAAAGAACUUUGAAAAGAGAGUGAAAAAGUACGUGAAAUUGUUGAAAGGGAAGGGCAUUUGAUCAGACAUGGUGUUUUGUGCCCUCUGCUCCUUGUGGGUAGGGGAAUCUCGCAUUUCACUGGGCCAGCAUCAGUUUUGGUGGCAGGAUAAAUCCAUAGGAAUGUAGCUUGCCUCGGUAAGUAUUAUAGCCUGUGGGAAUACUGCCAGCUGGGACUGAGGACUGCGACGUAAGUCAAGGAUGCUGGCAUAAUGGUUAUAUGCCGCCCGUCUUG